RNAcentral lists this microRNA (22 nucleotides) under Petromyzon marinus (sea lamprey). Its description in RNAcentral is "pma-miR-4594". The record is from miRBase by way of RNAcentral. Lineage: Eukaryota; Metazoa; Chordata; Hyperoartia; Petromyzontiformes; Petromyzontidae.
CAACGUUGGCCCGACUUUGGAU